Molecule: ribosomal RNA, 375 nt
Rfam family: Eukaryotic small subunit ribosomal RNA
AUUCCAGCUCCAAUAGCGUAUAUUAAAGUUGUUGCAGUUAAAAAGCUCGUAGUUGAACUUCUUGGCAUCCUUUAAGCUGGCUUCGGUCGUUUCAAGGGUGUCAAUCCGCUAGGGAACUACAUUCGCACUUCACUGUGCGGUGUAAGGAACUGGCAUUUUACUUAGAAAAAAUUAGAGUGUUCAAGGCAGGCUAUCGCCCUGAAUACACAAGCUUGGAAUAAUGAAAUAGGACUAUUUCCAUUUUAUUGGUUAUUGGAUUUAGUAAUGAUUAAUAGGGACAGUUGGGGGCAUUUGUAUUUAAUAGUCAGAGGUGAAAUUCUUGGAUUUAUUAAAGACAAACUUAUGCGAAAGCAUUUGCCAAGGAUGUUUUCAUUA